UCUCCCUCCCCUCCCCCCAUACACGCGUGCACUGUCUGAGAUCCACGAAGAAAUAACGAGGGCCUUCGCAUUUCCUCUUCCUCUUUUGUUUUCCAUCUUUUAAAGCGACAACGUCUGCGCAAUCGCUUUUUUCUUCUGCCUCACCUCCUCUGCACCAUCAUCAGCAACAAGAAGGCAGAACAAAGACACACCCCGACGCACCGCUACCUCUUCCGUUUUUGUCGAUCCGUCUCUGUGUGUGAGCUCAUUGCCAGGUGCUUGUCGUAACCGAAGAUGUCGACUCGCAACGGCCGACGUGGCAUGGGCCCCUUUGGCGCCAACAAGCCGAGCGGCGUGCGGAUGAACCGCAAGAACCUCCGCAGCGUGCGUGAGGUGACCCUGGACCACUACGAUGCCGAGUACAUGUAUCUGCGCGAAAACGAGCUUAUCAGCUUUGACUGUGACGUGAAGAUGGAGCAGCUUCUCGUACUUGAUCUGUCCAUCAACGAGAUCACCGGCGCCGUCGACUUCCUGAAGCGCACGCCCCAUCUUCACCACCUCUACAUGACCGGAAACAAGAUCGACACCCUCGCCGGGAUUUCCAACUUUGCCGCCAUCGAGACGCUCUGCCUCAGCGACAACGCCAUCAGCUCGUUUGCGGGUCUUGAGAACUUGCCGAACCUGCGCGUGCUCUCGCUGAACUUCAACAACAUCACGAGCUUCGAAAGUUACCCGACCUUGCCUAACCUGCACACACUUAACCUGGUGGGCAACCCCAUCACAGAUGCCCCCAACUACCGUUCCAUGGCUAUCGCGGUCAACGGGCUGAACCUCGUCUCCGUGGACGGAAACCCGGUGCAGGUCGAGGAGCGCGCUGAGGCAGAUAAGUACAAGGGCAAGGUCGUCCACUGCGUGCGCGAGGGCUUCACGGUCGAGGGCGAGAACCCGGAGAAGGCCGCUGCCGCCUUCAUGGUGAAGAUGCAGCGCAACCGCCAGGAUGCCAAGUACCUGCAGCUGUGCUCCAUCAACCUCGCUCCUGUUUCGGAGGAGGGCGGCGACAUCAUGGAGGGUGACCCAGUGGCGCUGUCGCUGUGCAUGCAGGAUGUGCGCCCGUACGCGCAGCGCACCACGGAAGUUUUCCAGUCCAGCUACCUGUACCCUGUCAUCUUCAAGGUGUCCGGCGAGGCCUCGGAGGUGUUCGUGGUGGGGUCCAUGAACAACUGGACGGAGCCGAUAAGCCUCGAGCGAUGCGUUGAGGGCGACGAGGUAUACUUCCACACAACCCUGUACCUCCCCGCGGGCGACUACGAAUACCGCUACAUCGUGGACGGUGUGGAGAAGGUGUCUGAAGCAAACAGCAUGCCCUCCAAGUACAAGCAGGGCUUCUGCAACAUCUACAAGGUGGCGGAGCUGGAGCCGCAGGAGGAGGAUCAGGACACAAUCCUCCACAUCCGUUGGAUGCGCAGCUCCCCGAGCGGCUCGUAUGAGGUGAUUGAGGACGAGAACACACUCACCUACACACCGACGACGGCGGACAUCAACUGCUGCCUGCGCGUUGAGGUGCUGGCCUACGUCAACGGUGAGUUCUCCUUCCUCUACUUUGACAUCUCGACGCCGACCAAGCCGGCCCCGCCACAGUGCCCACGUCUCGAGGUGACCGGGGUGGCGGUGGAGGGUGGUCUGCUGACGGCAGAGGCAGACUACUUCGGCGGCAUCGAGGGCAACUCGUCUCUCGUGUGGUACCGCAUCUCGCCAAGCGGCGAUGAGGUGGCUGUGGACGUCAUGGACCCGUGGGCUGGCUACGAGGUGACUCGCCACGAUAUCGGGUGCCGCAUCCGUGCCGAAUUCACACCUGUCCGCAACGACUGGGCCGCGGGCGAGCCCAAGUCCGUGACGACGGACCCUGUGAUCGCCUGCUCCCCGGAGUGCCGAACCAUCAAGAUCAUCGGCAACCUGGCCGAGGGCAGCCAGCUGGAUGUGGAUGUCGAGUACAAAGGCGGUGAGGAGGGCGACAGCUUCUACCAGUGGCUGCGCAAGGCGGGCAGCAAGAACGAUUACACACCCAUCUCUGGGGCCAACGGCACCAAGUACGUAGUGAAACCGGAGGACGUGGGCCAGUACUUGGCCGUAGAGUACACUCCAGCCAAUGCGGAGGGCGUCGUCGGUGAGACAUGCCGCUGUGUCUUGAACAACCCAAUCGAGGCUGCCGUGCCCAGCGUGAGCCACCUCACCAUUGUUGGUGAGCUCAUGGAGCAGCACACCCUGACCCUCGAGUAUGACUACACAGGCGGCCAGAGCGGCGCGCACAUGAUCCAGUGGUACCGCCGCGACAAGAAGCGAAGCCACAUGACAAAGAUCGGGUCGCCGAACAACAACUUUGUGACUCUGACCAACAAGGAUGUGGGGUGCUCGAUCGAGGUCUCGCUCACGCCGGUGCGCCUCGAUGGCGUAACGGGUAAGGUUGUGACGGCAAAGCGCGCCGGCACCGUGGAGCCGUGCGCGCCGGAGGUGAAGCUGCUCAACAUUGUGGGGGAUCCGGUCGUGGGCAAGGAACUCCAGCUUCAGGUGGAGUACUGCGGCGGGACGGAGGGUGAGUCGAUCGUAAAGUGGGAGGUCGAGGAUCCCCAAACCAAUGAGUUCAACGUCGUCGCCGCGAAUGCGAAGGUCUACACGGUGAAGGGGACGGACGCGGACAAGAUGCUGAAGGUGACCUACACCCCCGUGCGCAGUGACGGCGACCAGGGCGCCCCCAAGACGCGCAUGGUGCAGGUGAAGGGACAGGAAGAUACGUCAGCGGCAGUGGCGCCUCAGGCGGCUGCUUUGCCAACUAUAUCGAUGUCCUUGACGUCGUCGACGCAGAUUUCGCUCACGUCAUCCGAGGAGUCGAGCAUGAGUAUCUCGCUUCAUGAAGUCUCCGCCUAGCUGGCGCAGCCGAGGGGCGAUGGUGAGAUUUUUACCGAGGCGAAGACGCAUAACUCGGACGAGGAAAUUCACGCUUACACAGAAAUGGUUGAGUCGGCGGGAUGACCUGUAUCGACGUCCACGUCCAGCUGUACUUGUUGAGCCCACCACUGCCGCAUGCACGACCAUUGCGGUGGUUUCGAAAACACAGGUAGUGCAAGGCUACACUUCUUUGCUAGUCGCAUCUGUGUGUGCGUUGACGCGUGAGAAAGCAGGUAGGGAUGCAGCCUGGUGCUUCUACGCUCGUGGCAGGCUACUCAACGGUUUUAUUUUUCGAAAGGCCGAGGAAAGACGUUUCGCCUGCUCUCUGCAUGCACUAGCGCGGUAGUGUGGCGCUAGACAAGCACAGUGAGAUGUGGUUGUAUGUCGGACUGCACGAGCGAGCAGCGAUGGUAGAAUGCCUCGACCACUUUUUUUCAUUAUCGCUUUGAUAGGCUCUGAAGGCUCCACCCUGCUCUCCCCUACCUCUCUCCCUCCCCCUGCAUUUGUCGAUGAGGGACGCAUGUGUUGGGCUGGCAACAUUGCAUUUUUUCCCUCUCUUGCAUGCGGCUACACAUUUUUUUUUCCUUGUUCUCUCCCUGUAUCGCUGAUACGGAAGCUUCGCUUUCACGUAUCGACUCUUCUCUUGAGACGAAAAAAAGAUGAAGAAACGAAAAAAAAAGGCAAACAAAGCAGCAACUGCAGGGAAACGGAAAAGGCGCACUGUAUGGACAAGCUAUGUCGUUUUUACGUUUUCUGCACUUUUUUUUUGUGUAUCCUUUGCGUCUCUCGCCUGUACUGUCUCCUCGUGGGUUCUUCUUUCGUUAUUUGCCUUUGCCUUGAUGUACUUCUUUUUGUGUGUUUAACUUUUGACUUUCCCCUUCUCUUUCUUCUCUCCCUUUCUUUUCUUUUUCCGGUCUGUUGUUGGCUGUGACGCAGUGAACCGGUUGUGCUUGAUUUACGUGGUGGCUUGCAACGGAGGAUCCGCCGCGUUAUAUAUAUAUAUAUAUUCAUAUAUAUGUUCAAACUAAGGUGAAAAAAGAGGCAUUUUUGCCUUUAUUUCCCCUCACCCUCCGUCAAGCGCAGUGAAUCACGCUGGUGAGCGUCGCUUUGCUUGUUUAUGUAAUGGUUUCUCGCUCUCCAUAUGUCUAGGUGCGAAUGGAUGCGCCCGCAUACGCUUUCGAUUGAGGGAAUGCACGUGUUUCUUCCUGUACCUCCCUCUCUCUACAGAGCCGAAAAGGGAAAACGAAACUUGAUCGGUGAGGAUAAUGGCUGACUAGAUCUUGUGUGCGUGUUAUCAAGGAACCUCAGGAGGAAAGAAACCCAAGGUUCUUGUAUCAGCCAUGAGUCGUCUUUGAUGGGUAGCGAUGACAAGCGACACUCUCGGCAUCUAUACAUUCUGUGUAUCCCGCCAUUGGGAUCGGGUGUGUACAUGUCGCCGUUUCAUUUUUUUUUCUCGAAUCCCACCGCGUGGCAUCUCUCCCAGAUCCAGCCAGCAUGAGACGAAAGCGUAUAGGAACGUGAGCUACCACAGCUGGCUGCAAGGGUGCGCAGAUGUAUUGUUCCAUUCUUUUAUGUGCAGCAAUCCAGUGGCCACGCGCUCCUCAUUGGCCUCUGGAAGCUGACGUGUGCCUUCAAUUCAAGCACUGCCCAUAUGAAUAUGUGUCUGUGUGCGACUAUAUUGUUUUCAUUGCCUCGUCUUCUCUCUCGCUGUUGAUGCUCUUGUGAAGGUAUUUUGUCUUCCGUUGUUUUUUUCGUGACUAUAGAUAGGAUUUGUGUCUGUAUAGGCUAUGCGCCAG
RNAcentral lists this unclassified non-coding RNA (4718 nucleotides) under Leishmania donovani. Its description in RNAcentral is "gene:LdHU3.32.4060(CDS-product:leucine-rich_repea t_protein_putative)". The record is from RNAcentral. Lineage: Eukaryota; Euglenozoa; Kinetoplastea; Trypanosomatida; Trypanosomatidae.